Molecule: ribosomal RNA, 252 nt
Filed under: uncultured bacterium
Lineage: Bacteria
Description: partial 16S ribosomal RNA
Rfam family: Bacterial small subunit ribosomal RNA
Source: RNAcentral
UACGGAGGGUGCAAGCGUUAUCCGGAUUCACUGGGUUUAAAGGGUGCGUAGGCGGGUAAGUAAGUCCGUGGUGAAAUCUCUGAGCUUAACUCAGAAACUGCCGUGGAUACUAUUUGCCUUGAAUAUUGUGGAGGUGAGCGGAAUAUGUCAUGUAGCGGUGAAAUGCUUAGAUAUGACAUAGAACACCAAUUGCGAAGGCAGCUCACUACACAAUCAUUGACGCUGAGGCACGAAGCGUGGGGAUCAAACAGG